Long non-coding RNA from Rana temporaria (common frog), 526 nucleotides. RefSeq lists it as uncharacterized. The record is from RefSeq and is a predicted model, not a curated record. The transcript is spliced from 3 exons. NCBI's taxonomy places the organism in Eukaryota, Metazoa, Chordata, Amphibia, Anura, Ranidae.
AUGGUUACAAAAAGUUUGAGAAUAGUUUGUUUAACUGAGCUUUUUAUGCUUUUGUUAAGACAAUUUUAUGUCGGCUCACGAAUUGUCCUUGUAAUGAGUCCAUGAAACGUUCCAUUUAGCUGAUUUCUAUGUUUUGCUGUAUAUUUUCAGUUCCGCUACAAGACGAGGGUUUACAAACAGACUAACCUUGAUGAAAAGCAAUUGGCCAAGCUCCACACCAAGGCUGGUCUGAAGAAAUUUUUGGAAUAUAUUCAACACGGUUCUGCAGAGAAGGUGGCCAGGUUGCUUGAUAAAGGCCUAGACCCAAACUAUCAUGAUUCAGAAACAGGAGAGACGCCGCUCACCAUGGCCUCACAACUUGAAAUAACUGUGGAUGUGAUUAGGAUGCUGUGCCUUGGAGGGGCCCACAUUGACUUCCGAGCCCGAGAUGGCACCACGGCUCUGCACAAAGCGGUCUGCUCCAGAAACUACAAUGCCCUUAUGGUAUGAUUAAUUUAUACAGUCAUUUGCUUUCUAGUAUCUUUCU